RNAcentral lists this ribosomal RNA (460 nucleotides) under uncultured bacterium. RNAcentral describes it as "partial 16S ribosomal RNA". It matches the Rfam family "Bacterial small subunit ribosomal RNA", at positions 338 to 795 of the family's 1533-position model. The record is from RNAcentral.
CCUACGGGAGGCAGCAGUGAGGAAUAUUGGUCAAUGGACGAGAGUCUGAACCAGCCAAGUAGCGUGAAGGAUGACUGCCCUAUGGGUUGUAAACUUCUUUUAUAUGGGAAUAAAAUGUUCCACGUGUGGGAUUUUGUAUGUACCAUAUGAAUAAGGAUCGGCUAACUCCGUGCCAGCAGCCGCGGUAAUACGGAGGAUCCGAGCGUUAUCCGGAUUUAUUGGGUUUAAAGGGAGCGUAGGUGGAUUGUUAAGUCAGGUGUGAAAGUUUGCGGCUCAACCGUAAAAUUGCAGUUGAAACUGGCAGUCUUGAGUACAGGAGAGGUGGGCGGAAUUCGUGGUGUAGCGGUGAAAUGCUGAGAUAUCACGAAGAACUCCGAUUGCGAAGGCAGUUCACUGGACUGCAACUGACACUGAGGCUCGAAAGUGUGGGUAUCAAACAGGAUUAGAUACCCUUGUAGUC